RNAcentral lists this ribosomal RNA (273 nucleotides) under uncultured prokaryote. Its description in RNAcentral is "partial 16S ribosomal RNA". It matches the Rfam family "Bacterial small subunit ribosomal RNA", at positions 524 to 796 of the family's 1533-position model. The record is from RNAcentral.
UACGGAGGAUCCAAGCGUUAUCCGGAUUCAUUGGGUUUAAAGGGUGCGUAGGCGGAUUUGUAAGUCAGCGGUGAAAUCCUACAGCUUAACUGUAGAACUGCCGUUGAUACUGCAAGUCUUGAGUACAUUUGAUGUGGGCGGAAUGUGUCAUGUAGCGGUGAAAUGCUUAGAUAUGACACGGAACACCGAUUGCGAAGGCAGCUCACAAAACUGUAACUGACGCUGAGGCACGACAGCGUGGGGAUCAAACAGGAUUAGAAACCCUGGUAGUCC